CCUACGGGAGACUGCAGUGAGGAAUAUUGGUCAAUGGGCGAGAGUCUGAACCAGCCAAGUAGCGUGAAGGAUGACUGCCCUACGGGUUGUAAACUUCUUUUAUAUGGGAAUAAAAUGAUGCACGUGUGCCUUUUUGUAUGUACUUUCUGAAUAAGGAUCGGCUAACUCCGUGCCAGCAGCCGCGGUAAUACGGAGGAUCCGAGCGUUAUCCGGAUUUAUUGGGUUUAAAGGGAGCGUAGAUGGAUUGUUAAGUCAGUUGUGAAAGUUUGCGGCUCAACCGUAAAAUUGCAGUUGAUACUGGCAGUCUUGAGUACAGUAGAGGUAGGCGGAAUUCGUGGUGUAGCGGUGAAAUGCUUAGAUAUCACGAAGAACUCCGAUUGCGAAGGCAGUUCACUAAACUGCCACUGACAUUGAGGCUCGAAAGUGUGGGUAUCAAACAGGAUUAGAUACCCUGGUAGUC
RNAcentral lists this ribosomal RNA (460 nucleotides) under uncultured bacterium. Its description in RNAcentral is "partial 16S ribosomal RNA". It matches the Rfam family "Bacterial small subunit ribosomal RNA", at positions 338 to 795 of the family's 1533-position model. The record is from RNAcentral.